UGGCUCAGUGGUAGAGCGCAUGCCUUGCAUGCCUGAGGCCGUGGGUUCAAUUCCUC
Molecule: transfer RNA, 56 nt
Filed under: Dipodomys ordii (Ord's kangaroo rat)
Lineage: Eukaryota; Metazoa; Chordata; Mammalia; Rodentia; Heteromyidae
Rfam family: tRNA
About the family: Transfer RNA (tRNA) molecules are approximately 80 nucleotides in length.
Source: Rfam by way of RNAcentral